UACGGGGGGGGCAAGCGUUGUUCGGAAUUACUGGGCGUAAAGGGCUCGUAGGCGGCCAUGCGUGUCUUCCGUGAAAUCCCUCGGCUUAACUGAGGACGUGCGGAAGAAACUGCAAGGCUCGAGUCCGGGAGAGGGGGGUGGAAUUCCCAGUGUAGCGGUGAAAUGCGUAGAUAUCUGGAGGAACACCGGUGGCGAAGGCGGCAUCCUGGACCAACACUGACGCUGAGGAGCGAAAGCCAGGGGAGCAAACGGG
This 253-nucleotide ribosomal RNA is filed under the name uncultured bacterium. Its description in RNAcentral is "partial 16S ribosomal RNA". It matches the Rfam family "Bacterial small subunit ribosomal RNA", at positions 524 to 776 of the family's 1533-position model. The record is from RNAcentral.